AGUGAACGCUGGCGGUAGGCCUAACACAUGCAAGUCGAACGGCAGCACAGUAAGAGCUUGCUCUUACGGGUGGCGAGUGGCGGACGGGUGAGGAAUACAUCGGAAUCUACUUUUUCGUGGGGGAUAACGUAGGGAAACUUACGCUAAUACCGCAUACGACCUACGGGUGAAAGCAGGGGAUCUUCGGACCUUGCGCGAUUGAAUGAGCCGAUGUCGGAUUAGCUAGUUGGCGGGGUAAAGGCCCACCAAGGCGACGAUCCGUAGCUGGUCUGAGAGGAUGAUCAGCCACACUGGGACUGAGACACGGUCCAGACUCCUACGGGAGGCAGCAGUGGGGAAUAUUGGACAGUGGGCGCAAGCCUGAUCCAGCCAUACCGCGUGGGUGAAGAAGACCUUCGGGUUGUAAAGCCCUUUUGUUGGGAAAGAAAAGCAGCAGGUUAAUACCCCGCUGUUCUGACGGUACCCAAAGAAUAAGCACCGGCUAACUUCGU
This 491-nucleotide ribosomal RNA is filed under the name uncultured bacterium. RNAcentral describes it as "partial 16S ribosomal RNA". It matches the Rfam family "Bacterial small subunit ribosomal RNA", at positions 29 to 506 of the family's 1533-position model. The record is from RNAcentral.